GUGAGGAAUAUUGGGCAAUGCCCGCAAGGGUGACCCAGCAACGCCGCGUGGAGGAUGAAGGUCGUAAGAUUGUAAACUCCUGUUAGAGGGGACGAAUAGCACCGAUCGGCUCGGUGCUUGACUGUACCCUCAGAGAAAGCCCCGGCUAACUACGUGCCAGCAGCCGCGGUAAUACGUAGGGGGCAAGCGUUGUCCGGAUUCACUGGGUGUAAAGGGCGCGCAGGCGGGUUAGCAAGUCAGAGGUGAAAUCCUACAGCUUAACUGUAGAACUGCCUUUGAAACUGUUAAUCUUGAGUGCGGAAGAGAGAGACGGAAUUCCAGGUGUAGCGGUGAAAUGCGUAGAUAUCUGGAAGAACACCAGUUGCGAAGGCGGUCUCUUGGUCCGUCACUGACGCUCAGGCGCGAAAGCGUGGGGAGCAAACAGGAUUAGAUACCCGGGUAGUCC
This 445-nucleotide ribosomal RNA is filed under the name uncultured Ignavibacterium sp. RNAcentral's name for it is "bacterial SSU rRNA". It matches the Rfam family "Bacterial small subunit ribosomal RNA", at positions 354 to 796 of the family's 1533-position model. Lineage: Bacteria; Pseudomonadati; Ignavibacteriota; Ignavibacteria; Ignavibacteriales; Ignavibacteriaceae. The record is from RNAcentral.